Non-coding RNA from Paramisgurnus dabryanus, 622 nucleotides. The record is from RefSeq and is a predicted model, not a curated record. Lineage: Eukaryota; Metazoa; Chordata; Actinopteri; Cypriniformes; Cobitidae.
GCAGACAUUGCAAGCAGGCCAAGCACUUAUAGCUUGACAUGGCUGGAGUCAAUACUACCUCACCAAAAUUACAACUAAUGUUUGGCUUAAUCCUUGCCUAAUCGCAGUGUUUUUCCCUUUUAUUAUUUCUCUUUUUGUAGGCCCAUCAGAGUGAUUUUCUGAGAUCUUUCACAUGCUGUAUGGUCAGCGAAUGGAUGGAUUAUCCAGUCAUGGUACAUAAUGAAAGACUUGAGUGAGUUAGAAGAAACUGAGCGACUCUUCAGAGUGAAGAUGUUAUGAUGCAGUUAUGUCAAAGCACUCGUUUCGGCUGGACAGAUUGGAACAGACCUGAAUGGGAAGAUGGCAGAGCUAAGACUGGCAAUGUCCAGGAAAAAUGUUAACUAAAAAUGAGUGUGUUUUUCCCCAGCGAGUGAGUUUGGGAAUGUUUUAAAUGUGCCUAGAAGUUUGAAAAUGUAAUACUGAGGGAAAAAAGUGAGCGCUUUGAAAAGGCUUUAAAAAGAAAAAAAGUCUGAUGUUGAUGUUAAAUGAAGUUAAAGUUUUUACUUGAAAAGUUUGUACUUGUUUGUACUUGUCAAGUCUGUGCUGAAAAAAAUGCAGUAAAGUUUGUAUUUGAAAAGACUUG